This is a non-coding RNA of Acipenser ruthenus (sterlet), 728 nucleotides long. The record is from the annotation of a RefSeq genome assembly. NCBI's taxonomy places the organism in Eukaryota, Metazoa, Chordata, Actinopteri, Acipenseriformes, Acipenseridae.
ACGCCGCAGAUCACAGCCCGGAAAGUACACCCAUAAGUGAACCAUAAAGAACAUUCAAAACGUGUUGAAGACUUAUUGUAUUUGGGAGAUGGGUCCAGUCGCAACGCUGUUAUUUAAUGUGGCUUUCCUGCUCCUCCUUAGCUCUUCCAAUGCUAAUUCUGUAACCCAACCCUCCGCGUCGCUUGAUGUGUCUGUAGGUGGAAAGGUAACAAUACCGUGCAUUUAUUCCACUAGCUACUCGAAUCCAGAUCUUUACUGGUACCACCAGAAGCCAGACGGGGGGCUCCAGUUUAUCCUCUACAGAGAUAACAGCAGAAAGGAAGAAGCGGAAUUUGCUAAGGAAAGAUUUUCCGCACCGCAAGCUAGCCCGAGUUACACAUUCCCCCUGACCAUAUCGGGGGCUGUCUUCAGUGACUCGGCUCUGUAUUUCUGCACACUCAGACGCACAGUGAUCCAGGAUCAUGAAGCCUUCGAACAAGAACUACUGGGGCGAGGUGUCAGUCGAUAUGCACUGCCUUCUCAGUGUCGAAAUAAGUUUUCGUAAAAAUAAGGUUUAAAUGUAUUUCUUUAUUCUAUAUAUAUCUUGAAUGAUAAAUGUUGGUACAGGUUAUAUUACGUAUGGUUUAAGACCAUUGGAAAGUACUCACAUGGCAAUCCUGAUUGAGAGAUUUAUUUAGGUUAGUGAAGUUAGCGAGCGGUUCGCAGUUCGCUAUUCCAGCUCACUUAAU